GCCUGGUGGCUCAGUUGGUUGAGCAUCUGACUUCAGUUCAGGUCAUGAUCUCACAGUCUGUGAGUUCAAGCCCCACAUCAGGCU
Molecule: transfer RNA, 84 nt
Organism: Felis catus (domestic cat)
Lineage: Eukaryota; Metazoa; Chordata; Mammalia; Carnivora; Felidae
Rfam family: tRNA
About the family: Transfer RNA (tRNA) molecules are approximately 80 nucleotides in length. Their secondary structure includes four short double-helical elements and three loops (D, anti-codon, and T loops).
Source: Rfam